UGCAGUCGAGCGGCAGCAAGAGGAUCUUGCUCCUUGGGUGGCCAGUGGGGGACGGGUGAGGAAUGAUCUGAAUCUACUUUUUCGUGGGGGAUAACGUAGGGAAACUUACACUAAUACCGCACACCACCUACAGGUGAAAGCACGGGACCUUCUGGCCUUGCGCGAUUGAAUGAGCCGAAGUCGGAUUAUCUAGUUGGCGGGGUAAAGGCCCACCACGGCGACUAUCCGUUCCUAGUCUAAGAGGAUGAUCACCCACACUGAAACUGAGACCCGAUCCAUACUCCAAGCGGAGGCGGCGAUGGGGAAUAUUGGACAAUGGGCGCAAUCCUGAUCCACCCCUACCGUGUGGAUGAACAAAGCCUUCUGGUUGUAAAGCCCUUUUGUUGAGAAAAAAUUCCUUCUGGCUAAUACCCGGUUGGGAUGAC
Molecule: ribosomal RNA, 425 nt
Filed under: uncultured bacterium
Lineage: Bacteria
Description: bacterial SSU rRNA
Rfam family: Bacterial small subunit ribosomal RNA
Source: RNAcentral